UGUGUUAUUUCUUUGCAAAACAAGGGCUGUGCAAAUUUUGCCUGCUGUAAAAAUAUUGCAACAGUUAAGUGUAAUGUAGGUACAUUAGCAGAAAGCUUUCUUGUGUUAAAUUUUGAGUUAUUGAACUUGCAUGCUAAAUAUCCACUUUUUGAUAUGGACGUGCUCUGACGUCCCACAGUCUCAGCUUGUCUGGCAAAACAGCCGUUGGAUGUCAGAGCAAUCUCGGACAAGAGACAGGGUUGAGUCCUUCUGUUCUUUCCAACAUAGGUUAACGUGUAGGAUGAAGUUUCUUAUCAAUGAAAGAAGAAUGCUAUCAAAAUGAAAUUUUACAGUCAUAUGCAUCACGGUUUGAACAAUUAAAAAAAAAGUCUGAAAUUAGACCCCUUACACUAAAUUUAUCGUUUAAGAUCACAUAAAAAGAGAUUGUUAUACAAGGCUCUAAGAUGGAACACUUCAUCUUUUGGACACAUAUAUUCUUAUUUAACAC
This 487-nucleotide long non-coding RNA is filed under the name Mytilus galloprovincialis (Mediterranean mussel). Lineage: Eukaryota; Metazoa; Mollusca; Bivalvia; Mytilida; Mytilidae. The record is from RNAcentral.